GACGAACGCUGGCGGCGUGCUUAACACAUGCAAGUCGAACGCUGAAGCUCAGCUUUUGUUGGGUGGAUGAGUGGCGAACGGGUGAGUAACACGUGAGUAACCUGCCCCCUUCUUUGGGAUAACGCCCGGAAACGGGUGCUAAUACUGGAUAUUAACUGGUCUUCGCUUGGGGGUUGGUGGAAAGGGUUUUUCUGGUGGGGGCUGGGCUCGCGGCCUAUCAGCUUGUUGGUGGGGUGAUGGCCUAACAAGGCUUUGACGGGGGGCCGGCCGGGGAGAGUGACUGGUAGCAUGAGGAGUGAGAUACGGCCCGAAAUACUGCGCGGAGCAGCAGUGGGGACUAUUGCGCAGGGUAUGGAAGCCUGGUGCGACGACGCCGCGAGAAAGAUGGAGGCCUUGGGGUUGGGAACCGGUUUCGCUCAUGGUCAAGCCUCAACAAUGGUUGUGGUGAGGGUAGUGGGUAAAGAAGCGCCGGCUAACUACGUG
RNAcentral lists this ribosomal RNA (483 nucleotides) under uncultured bacterium. Its description in RNAcentral is "partial 16S ribosomal RNA". It matches the Rfam family "Bacterial small subunit ribosomal RNA", at positions 28 to 507 of the family's 1533-position model. The record is from RNAcentral.